AUACGCACCAGAAGCCAUCUCUACUGAUCGGCUUCUUCGAAAAACCGGAGUUACUAUUCACUUAAGUGAAAACUAAAGAUCGCAUAACUUCUCCAUCUUAACUCAUUUUCUCCUAAAACUUGACGAAUAUUUAUGUAAUUAAAUUACACACAAAAACAUUAUGAACACAGAGUUUAUCUAUACAGCAAAAAUCUCAGUCCUUACAGAACUCCCCCAAU
This 218-nucleotide long non-coding RNA is filed under the name Ananas comosus (pineapple). Its description in RNAcentral is "long non-coding RNA (ACOM_LNC002063)". The record is from RNAcentral. Lineage: Eukaryota; Viridiplantae; Streptophyta; Magnoliopsida; Poales; Bromeliaceae.